AACGAACGCUGGCGGCGUGCCUAACACAUGCAAGUCGAGCGAGAAAAGGGGGGCAACUCCCUGAGUAAAGCGGCGCACGGGUGAGUAACACGUAGGUGACCUACCCCUGUAGUCUGGGAUAACCUACCGAAAGGUGGGCUAAUACCGGAUAUGACCACGAGAGUUUCGGCUCUUGAGGUGAAAGAUGGCCUCUGCUUGCAAGCCAUCGCUCGAGGAGGGGCCUGCGCGCCAUUAGCUAGUUGGCGGGGUAAUGGCCCACCAAGGCGAUGAUGGCUAGCUGGUCUGAGAGGAUGACCAGCCACACUGGGACUGAAACACGGCCCAGACUCCUACGGGUGGCUG
This 342-nucleotide ribosomal RNA is filed under the name uncultured Pseudomonadota bacterium. RNAcentral's name for it is "bacterial SSU rRNA". It matches the Rfam family "Bacterial small subunit ribosomal RNA", at positions 29 to 351 of the family's 1533-position model. The record is from RNAcentral. Lineage: Bacteria; Pseudomonadati; Pseudomonadota.